Molecule: long non-coding RNA, 756 nt
Organism: Lolium rigidum
Lineage: Eukaryota; Viridiplantae; Streptophyta; Magnoliopsida; Poales; Poaceae
Exons: 3
Source: RefSeq, a predicted model, not a curated record
GGCCGCCUCUGGCUCCCCAUCCAUCCACAACGCCACUUCACCACCAACGCAUGAUGGAUCCGACCGCUGCUCAGACCAGGAGCUUUUCGACCGGAUCUGCAGCGCCAUAAAAUUCAACGAGGAUGAGCUGUUGGUUGGGUGAUCUACCCGCAACAAAUGAGAACCUGGUGUGAAGAGGAGGCAGCGAGAGAUUGAAAGGGGAAGAUAGUGUGAGCGAGGAGGAAGAGCAGAACCACGGUGGUGCGCGCAUCUCCGAGUGGCCCUUGCGAUCGGAAAACCACCUCACAGAGUCAUCUUCCAAGCUUAUCUCCGCGAAACGCCAACCUCCAUAGAAAAGUAAGACUAGAAGAAGAUCUGGGAGGACUUCCGCACCUAGACUGAUGUUUAGGUAAUACAAAUUCAUCGAGGAUGGUCCUUUUUAAUUUCUGAGCCAUUGAGCGAAUUGUUGAUCUCAUUUUAAUGCUUGAUGUGGUGCUUUUUAGUGUUUGUUACUGUAUUUGUAUUGUAUGCAGAGCCGUAGGACAUCCAGGAGCUCUCGAGUGAGCAACCAAAUAUCACUGUGUGCAUCAAGCCCCUUCUCUGCUCCCGAGCGCAGACGGUGAACGCUGGCGGCGGCCAUGCCCCUUGUCCUCGUCCUUCUCCGUAAAGGCAUGCCAUGGCUGCCGCUACACAGCACGACGGCGGCAAGGAGGAGAACGCUCGAAGAAGGGGCAGCGCCUCAAUCUUUGGCUCCUCUUCGUCAUGCAUAGCAGCCGU